This 1098-nucleotide long non-coding RNA is filed under the name Oncorhynchus mykiss (rainbow trout). Its description in RNAcentral is "lncRNA (ENSOMYG00000060744.1)". Lineage: Eukaryota; Metazoa; Chordata; Actinopteri; Salmoniformes; Salmonidae. The record is from RNAcentral.
AUGUUAAUUAACUUAAAAUGUAGAAUAGCAAUUGUUAGUAAUGUCUAUGUCAAACAUAAUGCAUAUAAAAACAUUAAAAUAGGUUCUGUAUAUCAUUUUACCUGUAGUGAAUUUGAAUUAACAUUUGAAAUAAUUUUUAACAUAUACACAUUUUUCUAUGUAGGUCUCACUGUGUUAGACACAUUUUUCUAUGUAGGCCCCACUGUGUUAGACACAUUUUUCUAUGUAGGCCCCACUGUGUUAGACACAUGUUUCUAUGUAGGCCCCACUGUGUUAGACACAUUUUUCUAUGUAGGUCCCACUGUGUUAGACACAUUUUUCUAUGUAGGCCCCACUGUGUUAGACACAUUUUUCUAUGUAGGCCCCACUGUGUUAGACACAUUUUUCUAUGUAGGCCCCACUGUGUUAGACACAUUUUUCUAUGUAGGCCCCACUGUGUUAGACACAUUUUUCUAUGUAGGCCCCACUGUGUUAGACACAUUUUUCUAUGUAGGCCCCACUGUGUUAGACACAUUUUUCUAUGUAGGUCUCACUGUGUUAGACACAUUUUUCUAUGUAGGUCCCACUGUGUUAGACACAUUUUUCUAUGUAGGCCCCACUGUGUUAGACACAUUUUUCUAUGUAGACCCCACUGUGUUAGACACAUUUUUCUAUGUAGGUCUCACUGUGUUAGACACAUUUUUCUAUGUAGGCCCCACUGUGUUAGACACAUUUUUCUAUGUAGGCCCCACUGUGUUAGACACAUUUUUCUAUGUAGGUCUCACUGUGUUAGACACAUUUUUCUUUGUAGGCCCCACUGUGUUAGACACAUUUUUCUAUGUAGGCCCCACUGUGUUAGACACAUUUUUCUAUGUAGGCCCCACUGUGUUAGACACAUUUUUCUAUGUAGGUCCCACUGUGUUAGAUACAUUUUUCUAUGUAGGCCCCACUGUGUUAGACACAUUUUUCUAUGUAGGCCCCACUGUGUUAGACACAUUUUUCUAUGUAGGCCCCACUGUGUUAGACACAUUUUUCGGUUGUGGUAUAAUGCUCAUUUCAUGCUCAAAUGUUUUUAUAUUCCAUGUGCCACAGAAGAAAGAGCUUCAUAGAAAAAAAUAA